CCCUGAAUUACCUUUUAUUGGUGGUUCCGCGGGACUUCGCGCCCGCCGGGGACCCAAACCUUCUGAAUUUUUUAAUAAGUAUCUUCUGAGUGUUAAAAAAAUGAAUCAAAACUUUCAACAACGGAUCUCUUGUUCUGGCAUCGAUGAAGAACGCAGCGAAAUGCGAUAAGUAAUGUGAAUUGCAGAAUUCAGUGAAUCAUCGAAUCUUUGAACGCACAUUGCGCCCGUCAGUAUUCUGGCGGGCAUGCCUGUUCGAGCGUCAUUACGCCCCUCAAGUCCCCUGUGGACUUGGUGUUGGGGAUCGGCGAGGCUGGUUUUCCAGCACAGCCGUCCCUUAAAUUAAUUGGCGGUCUCGCCGUGGCCCUCCUCUGCGCAGUAGUAAAACACUCGCAACAGGAGCCCGGCGCGGUCCACUGCCGUAAAACCCCCCAACUUUUUAUAGUUGACCUCGAAUCAGGUAGGACUACCCGCUGAACUUAAGCAUAUCAAUAAGCGGAGGAAAAGA
This 505-nucleotide ribosomal RNA is filed under the name Metarhizium robertsii. RNAcentral describes it as "eukaryotic LSU rRNA". The stretch from base 110 to 262 matches the Rfam family "5.8S ribosomal RNA". The record is from RNAcentral. Lineage: Eukaryota; Fungi; Ascomycota; Sordariomycetes; Hypocreales; Clavicipitaceae.